GAAGUUGUGGCUCAAUGGCAGAGCGCUCACCUAGCAUGUAAGAAGCCCUGGGUUCAAUUGUCAGCACUACA
This 71-nucleotide transfer RNA is filed under the name Marmota monax (woodchuck). RNAcentral describes it as "tRNA.Ala". The record is from RNAcentral. Lineage: Eukaryota; Metazoa; Chordata; Mammalia; Rodentia; Sciuridae.